GGAAUAAAUGCCUCUAUUUUAGGAAUACUUCGUCAAGCUUUAGUAGGCAAUUUAAAUGCAAAGUAAUACUCUUUUUUUUAUAAAGAACUAUUCUUAAAAAAUAACCACCCCCGAUUGUCAUUCAUAAACGCCAUUCAAGCUGCUGGCAUAAAUGUUUUCAAUUUGAAUUUGUCGCUGUACAGUCAAUUGGCUUUAUUUCCAGUUGAAUCGCUCUCCAUGUACCCCGGGCCAUCGAGACGACUCCCAGAAGCGGCAUCAUCGAUGACAACUGCACACAAGGCGAAGCCACAUGGAACUGGAAACCGAUCAACGUUCGAAUGAGCAAAAACAAUGAACGAGCAGCAGAGGAGUGAAAAGUGCACCACAUAAAGGAAAAAGUUGAGCGACAUCGAAAAAAAAGCUGGAACAAAUUACCAAUUCUAAGUUCGGGGGUGGAAAAGUGCCCUGUGAAAGUGUUCAAGAUACGCAAUCGGUUAGUGACAGUGUGCUAAAUAAUGUUUAGAGGGGUCUGAAAUACUUUUAAUUUAUACUAGUUUGGAGAUUUGUAUAUCUUUUACAAAAAUAACCAUACACAAAAUGUUAAUUUGAAUAGUUUACCUUAAUCUGUA
This is a long non-coding RNA of Drosophila biarmipes, 608 nucleotides long. RefSeq lists it as uncharacterized. The record is from RefSeq and is a predicted model, not a curated record. The transcript is spliced from 2 exons. NCBI's taxonomy places the organism in Eukaryota, Metazoa, Arthropoda, Insecta, Diptera, Drosophilidae.